UGCCGACAGGUCCGGGAAACCCGUUGAACCCUGGCCGUGCUAGGGAUAGGGAAUUGCAAUUAUUUCCCUUGAACGAGGAAUUCCCAGUAAGCGCGAGUCAUUAGCUCGCGUUGAUUACGUCCCUGCCCUUUGUACACACCGCCCGUCGCUACUACCGAUUGAAUGGUUUAGUGAGGUCCUCCGAUUGGACCCGGUCCGGGCGGCGACGUCCGAGCCGGCGUCCGAGAAGACGAUCUAACUUGAUCAUUUAGAGGAAGUAAAAGUCGUAACAAGGUUUCCGUAGGUGAACCUGCGGAAGGAUCAUUA
Molecule: non-coding RNA, 306 nt
Organism: Ciona savignyi (Pacific transparent sea squirt)
Lineage: Eukaryota; Metazoa; Chordata; Ascidiacea; Phlebobranchia; Cionidae
Source: Rfam